This is a non-coding RNA of Desmophyllum pertusum, 80 nucleotides long. The record is from the annotation of a GenBank genome assembly. Lineage: Eukaryota; Metazoa; Cnidaria; Anthozoa; Scleractinia; Caryophylliidae.
UUCAUGAUCAUAGCUCAGAUGGUAGAGUAUCGCACCGAUAACGAGAGGUCAUGGGUUCAAAUCCCAUUUACGUUCUGAAU